CACCCUAUAAAAGAGGUUGAUUUGAGGGUUGUGCCCUUGAGGCGUGGCUUCCGGAGCUAACGCGUUAAAUCGACCGCCUGGGGAGUACGGCCGCAAGGUUAAAACUCAAAUGAAUUGACGGGGGCCCGCACAAGCGGUGGAGCAUGUGGUUUAAUUCGAUGCAACGCGAAGAACCUUACCUACUCUUGACAUCCAGAGAACUUGGGGGAGAUGGAUUGGUGCCUUCGGGAACUCUGAGACAGGUGCUGCAUGGCANUCGUCAGCUCGUGUUGUGAAAUGUUGGGUUAAGUCCCGCAACGAGCGCAACCCUUAUCCUUUGUUGCCAGCGGUUCGGCCGGGAACUCAAAGGAGACUGCCAGUGAUAAACUGGAGGAAGGUGGGGAUGACGUCAAGUCAUCAUGGCCCUUACGAGUAGGGCUACACACGUGCUACAAUGGCGUAUACAAAGAGAAGCGACCUCGCGAGAGCAAGCGGACCUCAUAAAGUACGUCGUAGUCCGGAUUGGAGUCUGCAACUCGACUCCAUGAAGUCGGAAUCGCUAGUAAUCGUAGAUCAGAAUGCUACGGUGAAUACGUUCCCGGGCCUUGUACACACCGCCCGUCACACCAUGGGAGUGGGUUGCAAAAGAAGUAGGUUAGCUUAACCUUUGU
RNAcentral lists this ribosomal RNA (650 nucleotides) under Serratia nematodiphila. RNAcentral describes it as "bacterial SSU rRNA". It matches the Rfam family "Bacterial small subunit ribosomal RNA", at positions 796 to 1446 of the family's 1533-position model. Lineage: Bacteria; Pseudomonadati; Pseudomonadota; Gammaproteobacteria; Enterobacterales; Yersiniaceae. The record is from RNAcentral.